GCCGGGAUGGCGGAAUUGGUAGACGCACAGGACUUAAAAUCCUGGGUUGCGAAAGCGACGUGCCGGUUCGAUUCCGGCUCUCGGCA
Molecule: transfer RNA, 86 nt
Filed under: bacterium
Lineage: Bacteria
Description: tRNA-Leu
Rfam family: tRNA
About the family: Transfer RNA (tRNA) molecules are approximately 80 nucleotides in length. Their secondary structure includes four short double-helical elements and three loops (D, anti-codon, and T loops).
Source: RNAcentral